GUGGGGAAUUUUGGACAAUGGGGGCAACCCUGAUCCAGCCAUGCCGCGUGCGGGAAGAAGGCCUUCGGGUUGUAAACCGCUUUUGUCAGGGAAGAAAUCCUUUGGGUUAAUACCUCGGAGGGAUGACGGUACCUGAAGAAUAAGCACCGGCUAACUACGUGCCAGCAGCCGCGGUAAUACGUAGGGUGCGAGCGUUAAUCGGAAUUACUGGGCGUAAAGCGUGCGCAGGCGGUUUUGUAAGAUCGAUGUGAAAUCCCCGGGCUCAACCUGGGAACUGCAUUGGUGACUGCAAGGCUGGAGUGCGGCAGAGGGGGAUGGAAUUCCGCGUGUAGCAGUGAAAUGCGUAGAUAUGCGGAGGAACACCGAUGGCGAAGGCAAUCCCCUGGGCCUACACUGACGCUCAUGCACGAAAGCGUGGGGAGCAAACAGGAUUAGAAACCCUGGUAGUCC
This 450-nucleotide ribosomal RNA is filed under the name uncultured bacterium. Its description in RNAcentral is "partial 16S ribosomal RNA". It matches the Rfam family "Bacterial small subunit ribosomal RNA", at positions 354 to 796 of the family's 1533-position model. The record is from RNAcentral.